UUGUCUACCUCAGAAAAUCAAUUUCGUUCAUCCAUCCGCCGGUCGAUAAGGUACAGUGACGUUGCAGAUAUCGAUCGUCUCAAAUUCCCACCAAAUUUUGCCUUUUAGUUUGAGAAUAGCUUCUUCUUCACCCGAACGCAACCAGACCCUGAUUUCUGUGCUGUCGUGACUCUGUUUGGUUAAUGCCUUAUACUGUAAAUGCAUGGAUUAAAAAAGAAAACAAAUGGAGAACGCUGUCGUUCGAUGAAUGUUUAGUGGCUGUAAUUUAUUAUGGAGAAUAAAAUAAUGCUAGUGCUGAUGUUUUAGUCCAGCUAAGACAAUGUUCUUGGCUUGUGUGUGUGUGUGUGUGUGUGUGUGUGUGUGUGUGUGUGUGUAGAUUUCCAUAUGUCUGAAAUGGGUUUGUGUACAUUUGCUUCCAUGUAUGCACUAACAUAUCUGUACAGUUCCUCUCGCCAGAUGUAUAUAUACUGAAUGUAUUGUUUGGGGAUGCAGAGGCUUUGAGAUUCUGACAAAUAAAGUUUAUGGGUCUAACUUAA
Molecule: long non-coding RNA, 536 nt
Organism: Cyprinus carpio (common carp)
Lineage: Eukaryota; Metazoa; Chordata; Actinopteri; Cypriniformes; Cyprinidae
Exons: 2
Source: RefSeq, a predicted model, not a curated record